RNAcentral lists this ribosomal RNA (254 nucleotides) under uncultured bacterium. RNAcentral's name for it is "partial 16S ribosomal RNA". It matches the Rfam family "Bacterial small subunit ribosomal RNA", at positions 524 to 776 of the family's 1533-position model. The record is from RNAcentral.
UACGGGGGGGGCAAGCGUUGUUCGGAAUUAUUGGGCGUAAAGAGCUCGUAGGCGGUGUGUCGCGUCGGCCGUGAAAACCUGCAGCUUAACUGUGGGCUUGCGGUCGAUACGGGCAUCACUGGAGUUCGGCAGGGGAGACUGGAAUUCCUGGUGUAACGGUGAAAUGCGCAGAUAUCAGGAGGAACACCGGUGGCGAAGGCGGGUCUCUGGGCCGAUACUGACGCUGAGGAGCGAAAGCGUGGGGAGCGAACAGG